This 505-nucleotide ribosomal RNA is filed under the name Eucephalobus cf. oxyuroides JH-2004. Its description in RNAcentral is "SSU rRNA". It matches the Rfam family "Eukaryotic small subunit ribosomal RNA", at positions 88 to 590 of the family's 1831-position model. Lineage: Eukaryota; Metazoa; Nematoda; Chromadorea; Rhabditida; Cephalobidae. The record is from RNAcentral.
CGCGAAUGGCUCAUUAAAACAGCUAUAAUUCACUUGAUCUUGACACAAUCCUACUUGGAUAACUGUGGUAAUUCUAGAGCUAAUACAUGCAUUAAAGCUCUGACCUCACGGAAAGAGUGCAUUUAUUAGAACAAAACCAAGCGGCUUCGGCUGUUUUCGGUUGACUCAUAGUAACUGAGCUGAUCGCAUGGUCUUGCACCGGCGACGUGUCUUUCAAGUAUCUGCCGUAUCAACUUUCGAUGGUAGUGUAUCUGACUACCAUGGUGAUCACGCGUAACGGAGAAUAAGGGUUCGACUCCGGAGAGUUCGCCUGAGAAAUCGCGAACACAUCUAAGGAAGGCAGCAGGCGCGAAAAUUACCCACUCUCAGCACGAGGAGGUAGUGACGAAAAAUAACGAGACCGUUCUCUUUCGAGGCCGGUCAUCGGAAUGGGUACAAUUUAAACCCUUUAACGAGUAUCUAUGAGAGGGCAAGUCUGGUGCCAGCAGCCGCGGUAAUUCCAGCU